AUCAACUGCUCGGGCCGUCUCGGCGGCGCCGAAAUCGCGCGCAUGGAAUGGUAUCGCGAAGGCCGCGUGCCGCUGCACACGCUGCGCGCCGAUGUCGAUUACGGGGUUGCGACCGCGUUCACGACGUUCGGUACCUGCGGCGUGAAGGUCUGGAUCUUCAAGGGCGAAAUCCUGGGCCAUGACCCGAUGGCGCAGGACCGGAUCAUGAUGGAGGCUCAAACCUCCGGCGUCC
This 232-nucleotide unclassified non-coding RNA is filed under the name Hevea brasiliensis (rubber tree). The record is from RNAcentral. Lineage: Eukaryota; Viridiplantae; Streptophyta; Magnoliopsida; Malpighiales; Euphorbiaceae.